AUGAACGUUGCGCUGAUGCUACGGUGGGUUUGGCGGAUCUUGAGGGGAGAUGGGGGUAUCUGGCUACAGUUGUUGGAGGCCAAGUACUUGCAGGGUUAACCCCUCUUGUCUUGCUCUCUCUCGGUCGGGUCCCAGUUCUGGAAGUCUAUUCAGGCCAUUAAAGAAGAGAUCAGGCUGGGUUUGCAUUUCUCGGUUGGCAAUGGGUCUGGGACCCAGUUUUGGUUGGACCCUUGGUUUGAGGAUGAGCCUCUUCGCCUGCGGUUUCUGAGGCUCUUUGGGAUUUGUGACGACUCGACCAUCCUUGUUUCAUCGGCUGCCUUGGAUGAGGGGUGGAACAUUGCGUUCCGCUGAUCAUUCGGAUCCGAUGAGGUUCAGGAAUGGAGUAAGAUGAGGGAAGUAGUCCCUCUUCCUCUGUCCCAGGCCCCUGACUCUGUUUCCUGGAGUCUCUCUCCUUCAGCUGACUUCUCCGUUAGUUCGGCCUAUCAGGCCCUAUGUCGUGUGCCGGUUCUACAGUGGCUAUCCCCAUUGUGGAAGGCGCCGAUGCCCUUGAAGAUUAAGAUUUUCAUUUGGCAUCUUCUCCGAGGUCGUCUUCCUUCGGGAACCGAGGUGCUGAAACGCCAGGGUCCGGGCGAUGGCAUGUACCCUUUGUGCCAUGUCCCGGAAACGGGAACACACAUUUUGUUCUCGUGCAUCGCAGCGCAGGAUCUUUGGUGCUUUGUUCGUGAGGCUUUAGAACCGGAGUGGGAGUCCCUUGACCUUGCACAAUUUCUGCAGGUUAGGGCCACUCAGGUUGGCCAUAAGCGUCUACUGUUUUGGCUCAUCUUCGUGGCUAUGAUGUGGACCCUUUGGACUACUCGCAAUAAGAUGGUGAUUCAACGGUGUUCCGGACACGUGCUUCUGACUCGUUCUUCAAAUUUCUUGCCUUCCUACAGCACUGGCAUCCGCUCGCUAGGCCGAGGGGUCGUGACCAUCUUCAGCUCCUUCUUGACGCCCUAG
This 996-nucleotide ribosomal RNA is filed under the name Triticum aestivum (bread wheat). RNAcentral describes it as "partial small subunit ribosomal RNA". The record is from RNAcentral. Lineage: Eukaryota; Viridiplantae; Streptophyta; Magnoliopsida; Poales; Poaceae.